This 233-nucleotide ribosomal RNA is filed under the name uncultured bacterium. RNAcentral describes it as "partial 16S ribosomal RNA". It matches the Rfam family "Bacterial small subunit ribosomal RNA", at positions 118 to 347 of the family's 1533-position model. The record is from RNAcentral.
UGAGGAACAUGACUUUCGGCGGGGGAUAGCCGGCCCAACGGCCGGGUAAUACCGCGUACGACCUUUUGGGGACAUCCCCGAUUGGUGAAAGCAGCAAUGCGCCUAAAGAGUGCCUCGCGGCCUAUCAGCUAGUUGGCGAGGUAACGGCUCACCAAGGCGACGACGGGUAGCUGGUCUGAGAGGAUGGCCAGCCACAUUGGGACUGAGACACGGCCCAGACUCCUACGGGNGCA